Neocloeon triangulifer is the source of this 592-nucleotide long non-coding RNA. RefSeq lists it as uncharacterized. The transcript has 2 exons. Lineage: Eukaryota; Metazoa; Arthropoda; Insecta; Ephemeroptera; Baetidae. The record is from RefSeq and is a predicted model, not a curated record.
AAACCUCCCAAACGACCUGCAAUCCGGCAGUCUUUGCGCAGAAAGACAAGAGAAGAGAUGUCGUGCCUCACCUAUGCUUGUGCCAUACUUCUCGUAUUCACUCUAGCUUCGGCGCAAGUGUUUCAGUCCCAAAUCGUCCACAGGCAAAGCGCUCAUGGAUAUGCUCCUUUAAGCAAGUCAUCUCAAUAUUUUUACAUAAAACCUCCUUCAGCAGCAUCACAAUCCACCAACUCAAAACCAGGAGUGAAUAACGUAUAUCCUGCUGUAAAUCUCGCGCCCGUAUAUCAACUUGCAGUUGCACCUUUGCGAAAUCCAAAUCAACGAACUUGCAUAUUUUUUAAUGGCAGAUGUAGAAACUUUUAUCCAGGCAACUAAUAAACGGUCUAAGUGCUCGCCUUUAGCGAAAACUUUAUCGCUUAAUUCUUUGUUGUAUGUUGUAUUAUGUAGUGAUUAAAUUUUUUAACUUUCAAAGUUGUAAAAUUAAUAUUCAGUAAAUUUUCUCUCUUGAUGUAAUUAACCUUGUAAUUUUGAAUAUUUACAUGAAGUGUGUGAGGGCAAAGAAUAUUCCAAUAAAUAUUUCUUCAAACUAUAA